This 378-nucleotide ribosomal RNA is filed under the name uncultured bacterium. RNAcentral's name for it is "bacterial SSU rRNA". It matches the Rfam family "Bacterial small subunit ribosomal RNA", at positions 772 to 1138 of the family's 1533-position model. The record is from RNAcentral.
ACGCAAUAGAUACCCAGGUAGUCCACGCCCUAAACGAUGUCUACUAGUUGUUGGGAGAGUAAAAUCUCUUAGUAAACGCAGCUAAACGCGUGAAGUAGACCGCCUGGGGAGUACGGUCGCAAGAUUAAAACUCAAAGGAAUUGACGGGGGCCCGGCCACAAGCGGUGGAUUAUGUGGAUUAAAUUCGAUGCAACGCGAAAAAACCUUAACCCUUGGCCUUGACAUGCUACUAACGAAGCAGAGAUGCAUUAGGUGCCCGAAACGGGAAAGUAGACACAGGUGCUGCAUGGCUGUCGUCAGCUCGUGUCGUGAGAUGUUGGGUUAAGUCCCGCAACGAGCGCAACCCUUGCCAAUAAUUGCCAUCAUUUAGUUGGGCAC